This 207-nucleotide unclassified non-coding RNA is filed under the name Hevea brasiliensis (rubber tree). The record is from RNAcentral. Lineage: Eukaryota; Viridiplantae; Streptophyta; Magnoliopsida; Malpighiales; Euphorbiaceae.
UGAAGAUUGCAUUGCCAGGGUAACUGUAGUUGAAUACAAGUUUAAAAUGUACAAAAGCUUGAACACAUUUCAACUUGACUUCCUUCUCUACAUCAUGAUCUCUCUCUCUCUCUCACGCGAUUGAGAGAUGGAACGCGACCAACAAUUAAUGUUCAGUCAUCAUCUGUGCCAAAAUACCUGUCACCAAACUCCCCCAUUCCAGGGAUA